This 494-nucleotide ribosomal RNA is filed under the name uncultured bacterium. RNAcentral's name for it is "bacterial SSU rRNA". It matches the Rfam family "Bacterial small subunit ribosomal RNA", at positions 29 to 518 of the family's 1533-position model. The record is from RNAcentral.
AUGAACGCUAGCGACAGGCCUAACACAUGCAAGUCAGGGGCAGCACAAGGAGCAAUCUGAGGUGGCGACCGGCGCACGGGUGAGUAACACGUAUGCAACCUGCCUGUAAGCGGGGAAUAACCCGUUGAAAGACGGACUAAUACCGCAUAAUACUAAAUUACUGCAUGGCAAUUUAUUUAAACAUUUAUGGCUUACAGAUGGGCAUGCGCAUGAUUAGCUAGUUGGAGAGGUAACGGCUCCCCAAGGCAACGAUCAUUAGGGGUUCUGAGAGGAAGGUCCCCCACACUGGUACUGAGACACGGACCAGACUCCUACGGGAGGCAGCAGUGAGGAAUAUUGGUCAAUGGACGAGAGUCUGAACCAGCCAAGUCGCGUGCAGGAAGAAUGUCCUAAUGGAUUGUAAACUGCUUUUGCAGGGGAAUAAAGUGCAUCACGUGUGAUGUUUUGUAUGUACUCUGCGAAUAAGGAUCGGCUAACUCCGUGCCAGCCGCAGC